RNAcentral lists this small RNA (28 nucleotides) under Bombyx mori (domestic silkworm). RNAcentral's name for it is "ovarian small RNA-1198". The record is from RNAcentral. Lineage: Eukaryota; Metazoa; Arthropoda; Insecta; Lepidoptera; Bombycidae.
UGGUAGUGACGGUCGACACGUCGUCCAC